Anneissia japonica is the source of this 1902-nucleotide long non-coding RNA. RefSeq lists it as uncharacterized. The record is from RefSeq and is a predicted model, not a curated record. The transcript has 3 exons. NCBI's taxonomy places the organism in Eukaryota, Metazoa, Echinodermata, Crinoidea, Comatulida, Comatulidae.
UAACAGUACAGUAAUUCAAAUACGUAAUUGACUGAUGAAUUAGAUAGGCCUAUGGUAUAUGUAUUAAUAAAUUUAUUCUGUAUGCUGGCAAAGAAUGGUACAGAGACAAGAAGACUGGAGGUACGAUUUCACUGCUAGAUGUGGAUUCAAGAUGAAUGCAAGAUUCACCUGAUAAUGAUUACGAUAUGAAGAGAAGAGUUGACUGAAAGAUACAGGAAACUAAUGUUUUAAUGUUAUUCAACCACAAUGAAAAAUAUAUUUUAUAUUAUAAUAAUCAUAAAAAAAUGAAGUCAACGCUCUGUAACGCCAUCUACUGUGAACCCAUCUGCAAGAAGCCGAGAUGCUAUUAAGAUUUAUUUUAAAUGUAAUCAAAGUAUUAGAAAUGUAUCAGUAAUGUCAACAUAUGAAGACAAUAUCUUUAAUACAGUACAGUAAUUCAAAUACGUAAUUGAUUGAUGAAUUAGAUAGGCCUAUGGUAUAUGUAUUAAUAAAUUUAUGCUGUAUGCCGGCAAAGAAUGGUACAGAGACAAGAAGACUGGAGGUAAGUGGGUUGGUUAUUUACUCAAAGAUCUUAUAACAAAAUAAAAAAUAGCGCUCUCACCUAUUUGUAAGCGUAAUGCAUGAAAGACUCGUAAAACUGCCCCUUCUGCAAAAAAUCAUACAAAGCAAAACUUAUUUACUGUACUGAAUUUUAUAUAUGGCGCUCCCUCCAAAAACCUAUCUGUACUCGGGAAGGGGGGGGGGGCAAAAUUUUCAAGGAACUGGGAAAGAAAUUGAAAAGCCAAAUUUGUUUUACUAAAUUUUAUAUAGCCCUCCCUUAAAAAAAUGAAAAAUGCAAAGCCAAAUUAGUUUACUGAGUUUUAUAUAGAGUUCAUUACAAAAACCUUAUUUGUACACAUGCACUAAAAUCUUUCAUUGACAAUCUGAGAAAAAGUGACUGAAACUUUCAUAAAACUGCUCCCUGUGCAAAGAAAUGUGUACGAAGCCAAUUUUGUUUACUAAAUUAAGAUAUGGUUCCUCCAAUAAUUUGUUAGUUGGAUAAUUAAUGGGAAAUUUCAUGAGACUGCCAAAAAAUUGUCUACUUUAUUUUAUAUAGCGCUCCCUCCAAAAGUUAUUUGUACGCAUAAUGAAAUCCGAACUGCAUGUUGCAAAAAUAUAUUGCGAGUUUGUUACAAGAUCUUUGAGCUACAUUGCAUUAGGUGCCCCUAAAUUAAAUGAGGGCGCUGUUGACGAUAAAGAGCGCCCUCUAUGGAGAAAGAGCACUUUAACGUGAGCAGUGCCUCAUUUGAUUUGGGGGCGCUAUUUAAUGCAGGAACCCUCUAAAUAAAAUGAGGGAUUUUAUUUAGGCGGUAUAUUAAAAAAAUUGUAAUGAUGCAAGGAACAAAUAAAGGCAAGAGAAUUUGAAUCAAUUUUGUGUUGUAUUUAUUCGAUUGUAGCAAACUCCUUACAAAAAAAAAAAAAAAAAUGCACUUCUCCGCAACCCCUGCAGCCCCCACCAACGGGUUCACCUGACUCGGCUACACAGCAAGUACUACCUCAAGUCAUGCCCACUACCACUGCCAAGCAGCAAGAGUGCCCGAAGAAACCUGCAAAGUUCUCAAUACAAGCUACAAGUCCAAUGUAAAUUACAAGAUGAGUAAAAUACCUGUGAGAACCCUAUACCCAAGAUGGACGACAACCCACGCAAGAUCGCCAACCCUCUUCCCACUCUUUGCCAAGGAUAGGGAUUAUAUUUAUAAUAAUUAAAUGAUUAGUAUUGAAGAACUUCCAAAUAUGAAUGACUUUCAAAUUAGAUUAAAUUUAGCAUUACUAAAGUUACUAAAUAAUUAUUUAAAUGAAUUAACAUUUUAUUAAAUUAACAUUAUUGGUAUAGAUUGGCUGCUUAAAAAUUAAUUUGUUAGA